Molecule: small RNA, 48 nt
Filed under: Mesodinium rubrum
Lineage: Eukaryota; Ciliophora; Litostomatea; Cyclotrichida; Mesodiniidae
Description: partial Mitochondrion-encoded tmRNA
Source: RNAcentral
GUAUUUCCAAAAAAAAUAAAGUUUUGAGGGAAUGAAGUUUGAAAUGAC